CUUCCUACGGGAGGCAGCAGUGGGGAAUAUUGCGCAAUGGGGGAAACCCUGACGCAGCAACGCCGCGUGCAGGAAGAAGGUCUUCGGAUUGUAAACUGUUGUCGCAGGGGAAGAAGACAGUGGCGGUACCCUGUGAGAAAGUCACGGCUAACUACGUGCCAGCAGCCGCGGGAAUAAGUAGGGGACAAGCGGUGUCCGGAUUUACUGGGGGUAAAGGGGGCGUAGGCGGGAUAGCAAGUCAGUCGUGAAAUGCCGAGGCUUAACCUCGGAGCUGGGAUUGAAACUGUUAUUCUUGAGUAUCGGGG
Molecule: ribosomal RNA, 305 nt
Filed under: uncultured bacterium
Lineage: Bacteria
Description: bacterial SSU rRNA
Rfam family: Bacterial small subunit ribosomal RNA
Source: RNAcentral